RNAcentral lists this transfer RNA (70 nucleotides) under Neodrepanis coruscans (wattled asity). Its description in RNAcentral is "tRNA-His". It matches the Rfam family "tRNA". Rfam says of the family: Transfer RNA (tRNA) molecules are approximately 80 nucleotides in length. Lineage: Eukaryota; Metazoa; Chordata; Aves; Passeriformes; Philepittidae. The record is from RNAcentral.
GCAAACAUAGUUUUAAACCAAACAUUAGACUGUGAUCCUGAAAAUAGAAGUUAAAACCUUCUUGUUUGCC